This 569-nucleotide ribosomal RNA is filed under the name uncultured bacterium. Its description in RNAcentral is "bacterial SSU rRNA". It matches the Rfam family "Bacterial small subunit ribosomal RNA", at positions 163 to 746 of the family's 1533-position model. The record is from RNAcentral.
CUAAUACCGGAUAUUAUGAGAUUCUCGCAUGGGAAACUUAUGAAAGCUAUAUGCGCCAAGAGAGAGCCUUGCGUUCCAUUAGCUAGUUGGUGGGGUAACGGCCCACCAAGGCGACGAUGGAUAGCCGGCCUGAGAGGGUGAACGGCCACAAGGGGACUGAGACACGGCCCUUACUCCUACGGGAGGCAGCAGUGGGGAAUAUUGGACAAUGGGCCACAAGCCUGAUCCAGCAAUUCUGUGUGCACGAUGAAGGUCUUCGGAUUGUAAAGUGCUUUCAGUUGGGAAGAAGAAAGUGACGGUACCAACAGAAGAAGCGACGGCUAAAUACGUGCCAGCAGCCGCGGUAAUACGUAUGUCGCAAGCGUUAUCCGGAUUUAUUGGGCGUAAAGCGCGUCUAGGCGGAAAAAUAAGUCUGAUGUUAAAAUGCGGGGCUCAGCUCCGUAUUGCGUUGGAAACUGUUUUUCUAGAGUACUGGAGAGGUGGGCGGAACUACAAGUGUAGAGGUGAAAUUCGUAGAUAUUUGUAGGAAUGCCGAUGGAGAAGUCAGCUCACUGGACAGAUACUGACGC